This 330-nucleotide ribosomal RNA is filed under the name uncultured eukaryote. Its description in RNAcentral is "partial 18S ribosomal RNA". It matches the Rfam family "Eukaryotic small subunit ribosomal RNA", at positions 1470 to 1796 of the family's 1831-position model. The record is from RNAcentral.
CCCUUAGAUGUUCUGGGCCGCACGCGCGCUACACUGAUGCAUUCAACGAGCCUAUCCUUGACCGACAGGUCCGGGUAAUCUUUGAAUCUGCAUCGUGACGGGGAUAGAUUAUUGCAAUUAUUAAUCUUCAACGAGGAAUUCCUAGUAAGCGCGAGUCAUAAGCUCGCGUUGAUUACGUCCCUGCCCUUUGUACACACCGCCCGUCGCUACUACCGAUUGAACGGUUUAGUGAGGGCCUCGGAUUGGUCUCGGCCCGCUCUUUACCGGGCGGCGCCGUUGGUCGAGAAGACGCUCGAACUUGAUCGUUUAGAGGAAGUAAAAGUCGUAACA